AACACUGAGCCUUAUUUUCAAGAAUUUGCGGAUGUUGACAGAAGUGAAGAAUUUUGACCGAUUUCAAGUCUUCACCUCAAGCACAGGAGCCCUACACCAAACGAAUGCUGGAGAAGUAACGUAAUCCAGCAUGUUCCAGUGCCAAAUGAACAGGGAGGCCUGCACUCUCUACUUCAAAGCAAAGCAGCAGUGUUAAGUUACCUAAGGAACACAGGCAAACAGGAUAAUUUAAAGUCCAGGAGUCUGCUUGUCAAAGUUUGUGUCAGUCACUUGGUGGAGAAGGGUGAAUUGGUCGGAUUAAAGGAAAAGGAGAUGGAUUUCAGUGGAGAUGAAGAUCAGGCAUAGGUCGUGGAUAUCGAAGGGGACUUCUACAAUCUUUGAGUACCCAUGCUUCUUGAAUAUGCCAAGUGUGGUAGGUCUCAUUGCAGUUCAGUCUUUACUUAUUUUCUUCCGUUACUUAAAGGGAUAGUUCAACCAAAAAUGAAAAUU
Molecule: long non-coding RNA, 489 nt
Organism: Sinocyclocheilus anshuiensis
Lineage: Eukaryota; Metazoa; Chordata; Actinopteri; Cypriniformes; Cyprinidae
Exons: 4
Source: RefSeq, a predicted model, not a curated record